AACGAACGCUGGCGGCAUGCCUAACACAUGCAAGUCGAACGAGACCUUCGGGUCUAGUGGCGCACGGGUGCGUAACGCGUGGGAACCUGCCCUUAGGUUCGGAAUAACUCCCCGAAAGGGGUGCUAAUACCGGAUAAUGUCUUCGGACCAAAGAUUUAUCGCCUUUGGAUGGGCCCGCGUUGGCUUAGCUAGUUGGUAGGGUAAAAGCCUACCAAGGCGACGAUCCAUAGCUGGUCUGAGAGGAUGAGCAGCCACACUGGGACUGAGACACGGCCCAGACUCCUACGGGAGGCAGCAGUGGGGAAUAUUGGACAAUGGGCGGAGUGCUGAUCCAGCAAUGCCGCGUGAGUGAUGAAGGCCGUAGGGUUGUAAAGCUCGUUUACCCGGGAUGAUAAUGACAGUACCGGGAGAAUAAGCACCGGCUAACUCCGUG
This 433-nucleotide ribosomal RNA is filed under the name uncultured bacterium. RNAcentral's name for it is "partial 16S ribosomal RNA". It matches the Rfam family "Bacterial small subunit ribosomal RNA", at positions 29 to 507 of the family's 1533-position model. The record is from RNAcentral.